Pteropus vampyrus (large flying fox) is the source of this 107-nucleotide small nuclear RNA. The record is from Ensembl. Lineage: Eukaryota; Metazoa; Chordata; Mammalia; Chiroptera; Pteropodidae.
AUGCUUGCUUCAGCAGCAUGUAUACUAAAAUUGGAAGGAUACAGAGAAGAUUAGCACAGCCUCUGCAUAAGGAUGACAUGCAAAUUCGUGGAUCAUUUCUUAAAAAU